Molecule: ribosomal RNA, 450 nt
Filed under: uncultured bacterium
Lineage: Bacteria
Description: partial 16S ribosomal RNA
Rfam family: Bacterial small subunit ribosomal RNA
Source: RNAcentral
GUGGGGAAUUUUGGACAAUGGGGGCAACCCUGAUCCAGCAAUGCCGCGUGUGUGAAGAAGGCCUUCGGGUUGUAAAGCACUUUUGUCCGGAAAGAAAACUUCGGGGCUAAUACCCCUGGAGGAUGACGGUACCGGAAGAAUAAGCACCGGCUAACUACGUGCCAGCAGCCGCGGUAAUACGUAGGGUGCGAGCGUUAAUCGGAAUUACUGGGCGUAAAGCGUGCGCAGGCGGUGCUGUAAGACCGAUGUGAAAUCCCCGGGCUUAACCUGGGAACUGCAUUGGUGACUGCAGCGCUGGAGUAUGGCAGAGGGGGGUGGAAUUCCACGUGUAGCAGUGAAAUGCGUAGAGAUGUGGAGGAACACCGAUGGCGAAGGCAGCCCCCUGGGCCAAUACUGACGCUCAUGCACGAAAGCGUGGGGAGCAAACAGGAUUAGAAACCCGUGUAGUCC